Long non-coding RNA from Papaver somniferum (opium poppy), 1669 nucleotides. RefSeq lists it as uncharacterized. The transcript has 6 exons. NCBI's taxonomy places the organism in Eukaryota, Viridiplantae, Streptophyta, Magnoliopsida, Ranunculales, Papaveraceae. The record is from RefSeq and is a predicted model, not a curated record.
UCACCAUGUAUUUCUUACGUUUACACCAGCCUUAUUCUAAUUCAGUCCUUGCUGGAAGAUUACAUUAUUCAUCGAAUUUAACUUCUGAAGUGUUUCAAUUUUUCUCAGCCAUCAAUGUUAAUCAAUAUCAAUUAUAAAUCCUAGCUAUCCUCCAAUCUUCUUCACUGCAUCAUCUGUUCAUUUUCUUUCAUUUUCUUCGUUUAAACUUGGAGACUCUUCUUAAUCUAAUUUCUAGGUUUUCGUCAUUCCAUUUGGCGAUACGGUGAUUUGUAUAGUUAGACCUUCAAUCCCUUUACCUCUGGAAUUUAGAGCUAUGUGUAGCGUCAAAAAGGAGUUUUGAAUUUGGGGAUUAUGAAAAAAAUACUGAGAUUAAGUUUGGAUUAUGAUUGCUUAAUUCUAUUUUUGCUGAGAUUAAUUGCUCUUAGUUGUAUGUUCUAUGCAAUUACAUUGGUUCUCUGAUUAAUGGUUGGUAUUGUUUAUGAGUAGUUUUAAGGUUUAACCUAGGUACUCAUUUAGUUUUUUGUUAUUGUUGUUGUUGUCGUUGGUGUGCUGAAUUUAUGUGUGGUACUGAUUUGAGUAUUUGUUCCCCUAAGGAUUUUGGGUGUGCCUUAUUUAAGAUCUAACUAUCAGAAUCUUGAGUAGUUUUAAGGUUUGACCUAGGUACUCAUUUAGUUUUUUUGUCAUUGUUGUUGUUGUUGGUGUCCGUGGUACUGAUUUGAAUUUUUUUCCCCUCAGGAUUUUGGGUGUGCCUUAUCAGAAUCUUAAUUGUGUGGAUAAAGCUAGAGAUUUAAAAUGAAAAGAGUUUAUGAAGUGAAAACGAUCAUUUGAUCUGAAGUGAAGGGUCUCAUUGUAAGGUGGUUACUUUGAAGAUUUUCUUCGAAUAGUUAAAAGAAACAUGGUUUCGGGGAGUUGUACAAAAGGAACAGGUAGUCUGGGUUCUAUAUCCAGAUAACUGUGAACCAGCUAAAAAUCACUUGGAAAGUGGUAAUCAUAUUUACAGCUUGAUUUUAACAGUUAGGUUCAAGCUUCAUUGUGAAGUCUCGGCACCAUAUCGGUCAACCGCAUUUGCUGCACUGGAUAGUGAGAUAAAAGGGUAGUGUGGUCCAGGACUACGUUGGAUAUAGUCAUUACCGGAGAGGAGGAAGGCAAGGCUAAGGUGGUUGCAUCUUUUGUAGAGAUAUUGAAUACCGAACAAUGCUUAACGCGUUCAACAUGUAGAAGAAAGCGACUCAUAGCCUUCAGAAUGACUCGCGAAAUCCUUUAAGAUAACAUCCUGCGCCUAACACAAACCAAGGGAUUCCCAUUGUCAAGAAUGGGUCUCCCUGGAUCCGAGGAUGAAAACCCUCUAAAAAGGCACGCCGUGGGCAAAAUAUGGUGAUCCUCUCUGUGAUUUCCCUAUAUUAAGAUUGAAAGGAGGGACGUGAUAUCAAAUAUGGUUUCCAAUAGUCGUGUGACCGCAACUACAGUCCUGCGGUGGUUCUUUAAACCUUUGAAGUUGAAAAUGUGUAAUCCUAAGUCCCUAAGUUCCUUUUGUUGGUUAAUUAUUUUGCGCUCAGAUUUCCUUCUUUUGACAUUUCCAAUGUCUGUUUCAUGCCUAACAUGACUUGCAUCAGUUCGUUCUGAACAAUGUAAUAAACUUUGCCACUAUAGUUGUUGACUUUGUCCUGUA